UCCCAGAGUCAUUAAGGGGAAUAAAAAGGUUUCCUUCCUCUACCUGCUUUUUCUGAGCAUUGUGGGAUCACAUUUUACUGAUGUUUCUCUGCAACACAUAAAAAUGGAAAAAGACUUAAAAAACAAAACAGGGCCUUAAGAGGAAUAUCAGCUUUCACUAAAUUUGUGAUAAAACUAUAUGAUUUAGCUUUUAGGUAUAGCGUUAAAAAAAAGGAAACACUUGCAUCUUUAUUUAAUGGAUGUGUCCUUCAGGAGUAAGGAGCCUUUGGUAAGACUUGAUUUGAACACGCUCACAGAAGUCUUCUCCUUGGCCUGCUGGCAUACACCUCCGUCUAAUGGACACGGCAGGACGUAGGGUCUCAUAGCAUUGCAAUGGCACUCGAGUGACUCCAGGAUUUGUUGAAGUACUCCUUACCCUUCACUCCAAGGUUACUGCCUGCAGGUCUCUCCCAACCACUCUCCAUGAAUGACUGACAGACGGACAGAGUGAAGGAUGACACAGUGGGAAAAAGCAGCUUGGCUGCCAUUAGUUGGUGGUGAAAACCUACCCACAUGAUUUCCUCCAGCACAAAUCAAGGUGGGGUGAGAACCUCGGGUGUUUCUAUUUAUUGGGCAGAGCUGAUGAAUCAGAUCUAGAAGGGAUGGAGGAUCAUUAGGUCUCUCAGAAUCUCCUUGGGGGCACUCCCUUACUGCAUAUCCAUAUUGAAGUCCAGAAGACCCAUCUAAGGCGCAACCACUGGUGAAAACCACAACACAAGG
Molecule: long non-coding RNA, 759 nt
Organism: Chroicocephalus ridibundus (black-headed gull)
Lineage: Eukaryota; Metazoa; Chordata; Aves; Charadriiformes; Laridae
Exons: 3
Source: RefSeq, a predicted model, not a curated record